AUUGAACGCUGGCGGCAGGCCUAACACAUGCAAGUCGAGCGGAUGAAGGGAGCUUGCUCCUGGAUUCAGCGGCGGACGGGUGAGUAAUGCCUAGGAAUCUGCCUGGUAGUGGGGGAUAACGUCCGGAAACGGGCGCUAAUACCGCAUACGUCCUGAGGGAGAAAGUGGGGGAUCUUCGGACCUCACGCUAUCAGAUGAGCCUAGGUCGGAUUAGCUAGUUGGUGGGGUAAAGGCCUACCAAGGCGACGAUCCGUAACUGGUCUGAGAGGAUGAUCAGACACACUGGAACUGGGACACGGUCCAGACUCCUACGGGAGGCAGCAGUGGGGAAUAUUGGACAAUGGGCGAAAGCCUGAUCCAGCCAUGCCGCGUGUGUGAAGAAGGUCUUCGGAUUGUAAAGCACUUUAAGUUGGGAGGAAGGGCAGUAAGUUAAUACCUUGCUGUUUUGACGUUACCAACAGAAUAAGCACCGGCUAACUUCGUG
RNAcentral lists this ribosomal RNA (484 nucleotides) under uncultured bacterium. RNAcentral's name for it is "partial 16S ribosomal RNA". It matches the Rfam family "Bacterial small subunit ribosomal RNA", at positions 30 to 507 of the family's 1533-position model. The record is from RNAcentral.